This 270-nucleotide ribosomal RNA is filed under the name uncultured archaeon. RNAcentral describes it as "partial 16S ribosomal RNA". It matches the Rfam family "Archaeal small subunit ribosomal RNA", at positions 477 to 747 of the family's 1478-position model. The record is from RNAcentral.
CAGCGCCUCAAGUGGUCAGGAUGAUUAUUGGGCCUAAAGCAUCCGUAGCCGGCGCUGUAAGUUUUCGGUUAAAUCUGUACGCUCAACGUACAGGCUGCCGGGAAUACUGCAGAGCUAGGGAGUGGGAGAGGUAGACGGUACUCGGUAGGAAGGGGUAAAAUCCUUUGAUCUAUUGAUGACCACCUGUGGCGAAGGCGGUCUACCAGAACACGUCCGACGGUGAGGGAUGAAAGCUGGGGGAGCAAACCGGAUUAGAUACCCGAGUAGUCC